GAUGAACGCUGGCGGCGUGCCUAAUACAUGCAAGUCGAGCGAACAGACGAGGAGCUUGCUCCUCUGACGUUAGCGGCGGACGGGUGAGUAACACGUGGAUAACCUACCUAUAAGACUGGGAGAACUUCGGGAAACCGGAUCUAAUACCGGAUAAUAUAUUGAACCGCAUGGUUCAAUAGUGCAUGACGGUUUUGCUGUCACUUAUAGAUGGAUCCGCGCCGCAUUAGCUAGUUGGUAAGGUAACGGCUUACCAAGGCAACGAUGCGUAGCCGACCUGAGAGGGUGAUCGGCCACACUGGAACUGAGACACGGUCCAGACUCCUACGGGAGGCAGCAGUAGGGAAUCUUCCGCAAUGGGCGAAAGCCUGACGGAGCAACGCCGCGUGAGUGAUGAAGGUCUUCGGAUCGUAAAACUCUGUUAUUAGGGAAGAACAAAUGUGUAAGUAACUAUGCACGUCUUGACGGUACCUAAUCAGAAAGCCACGGCUAACUACGUG
RNAcentral lists this ribosomal RNA (497 nucleotides) under uncultured bacterium. RNAcentral's name for it is "partial 16S ribosomal RNA". It matches the Rfam family "Bacterial small subunit ribosomal RNA", at positions 28 to 507 of the family's 1533-position model. The record is from RNAcentral.